ACGGUUAUAAAUCAACACAUUGAUUUAUAAGCAUGGAAAUCUAAUUGAAGCAACGAAUUGCUGUGUGUGGUCUUUGCCCGUCUCCUACGAUGGGCUUUUUUAACU
This 105-nucleotide non-coding RNA is filed under the name Salmonella enterica subsp. enterica. RNAcentral describes it as "antisense sRNA RprA". It matches the Rfam family "RprA RNA". From Rfam's summary of the family: Translational regulation of the stationary phase sigma factor RpoS is mediated by the formation of a double-stranded RNA stem-loop structure in the upstream region of the rpoS messenger RNA, occluding the translation initiation site. The record is from RNAcentral. Lineage: Bacteria; Pseudomonadati; Pseudomonadota; Gammaproteobacteria; Enterobacterales; Enterobacteriaceae.